This 424-nucleotide ribosomal RNA is filed under the name uncultured bacterium. RNAcentral describes it as "bacterial SSU rRNA". It matches the Rfam family "Bacterial small subunit ribosomal RNA", at positions 356 to 773 of the family's 1533-position model. The record is from RNAcentral.
GGGGAAUAUUGCACAAUGGGCGAAAGCCUGAUGCAGCAACGCCGCGUGAGUGAAGAAGGUUUUCGGAUCGUAAAGCUCUGUUGCCAGGGAAGAACGUCUUCUGGAGUAACUGCCAGGAGAGUGACGGUACCUGAGAAGAAAGCCCCGGCUAACUACGUGCCAGCAGCCGCGGUAAUACGUAGGGGGCAAGCGUUGUCCGGAAUUAUUGGGCGUAAAGCGCGCGCAGGCGGCUGUUUAAGUCUGGUGGUUAAUCCUGGGGCUCAACCCCGGGUCGCACUGGAAACUGGACGGCUUGAGUGCAUAAGAGGAGAGUGGAAUUCCACGUGUAGCGGUGAAAUGCGUAGAGAUGUGGAGGAACACCAGUGGCGAAGGCGACUCUCUGGGCUGUAACUGACGCUGAGGCGCGAAAGCGUGGGGAGCAAAC